AACGAACGCUGGCGGCGCGCCUAAUACAUGCAAGUCGAGCGAGAAGACGUAGCAAUACGUUUGUAAAGCGGCGAACGGGUGAGGAAUACAUGGGUAACCUACCCUCGAGUGGGGAAUAACUAGCCGAAAGGUUAGCUAAUACCGCGUACGCUCCUUGGACUUCGGUUCAGGGAGGAAAGCGAUACCGUGGGUAUCGCGCUCUUGGAUGGGCUCAUGUCCUAUCAGCUUGUUGGUGAGGAACGGCUCACCAAGGCUUCGACGGGUAGCUGGUCUGAGAGGACGAUCAGCCACACUGGCACUGCGACACGGGCCAGACUCCUACGGGAGGCAGCAGUAAGGAAUAGUGCGCAAUGGGCGAAAGCCUGACGCAGCGACGCCGCGUGGGGGAUGAAGGU
This 395-nucleotide ribosomal RNA is filed under the name uncultured bacterium. RNAcentral describes it as "bacterial SSU rRNA". It matches the Rfam family "Bacterial small subunit ribosomal RNA", at positions 29 to 415 of the family's 1533-position model. The record is from RNAcentral.